GCUGUGGUCAGCGUCAUUUUAAAUUGCCAUAGUAACGACUGACGCCAGUGCGUCACUGGCAAGAAUCAUUCGGAGUUUCCGAAUGGAAAGGACUCGUAUACCUACGUAGAAGCCCCCUGCUUGCCCAUCCAUUUUCAAUUUCGAGGGUUACGGUGUAGGGGUUACCGACCGACCAUCAACUACAUUGCUGACUUCGGAGUCAAGCAAAAGCCGGACUGCACUUGAGAGGCGACGCGAAAUAAUGGAGCCUGAACGUAUGACAUCUUCGUACCUGGAAAGGUUUUCAUCCUGGAGGAGACUGCAGCAGGAGGAAGCAGAGGAGGAAGUGGGAGUCCCAGACCAGAGUGGGAAAGUUGUUUGCAGGAAAUCUGUUGGUGCCAUCAGCGGUCUUCCUUACUGGCGGGCUCCCACUUCACUUUUGUGGAAACAUGUCACCUCCUCAGCCUGGUGACAAUGUCACUGCCACAGUUCUCAAAACAACUGCGCAGCCACAUGUGGACCCAGCACACAGAGGCCAUUCUGGCUACAAUUGGUGACAGUCCACUAAUCGUAUCUGGAGACGCACGGUGUGAUUCGCCAGGCCAUUGUGCCUCUUUUGGCUCUUACACCAUCCUGGACUCUGCUCCCCACCUGAUCCUCCUCCAGGAGACUGUUCUUCCUUUGGCUCUUACACCAUCCUGGACUCUGCUCCCCACCUGAUCCUCCCCCAGGAGACUGUUCUUCCUUUGGCUCUUACACCAUCCUGGACUCUGCUUCCCACCUGAUCCUCCCCCAGGAGACUGUUCAUGUGACUGAAGUGAAGAACAGCUAGUGUUUCCAUUGCCCUUUAAUCAGGAUUUAAAUGUUGUUUUUGCUAAACUCAUUUUGCAAAAAGAUAGGGAUUAGGAUAGUUUUAAUGCUGAAAAUCAGGAUUAUCUUGAUCCCACUGCAAGGUUGGAUUUAGAAAGGUGUUAGAAAGGUGAAAUGUACUACAACCAUUUAUAUGUAACUAAGGUGAGGAGGUUUAGAAAACAUUCUUACAUCUGAAAACCAAAGGUUCAUUGUGUUAAAUUGACUCCAGUAAAGGUAUUUGGUCAGUUGGUAUAUUGAGAAGUGAUAGGUUCUAUUAUGUUUCAUCAAGGUAUCUUUAUUCAUGUAGUUUACAAGUGGCGGUAGGUAGUUUAGUGGUUAGAGCGUUGGGCCAGUAACCGAAAGGUUGCUAGAUCGAAUCCCU
Non-coding RNA from Salmo salar (Atlantic salmon), 1213 nucleotides. Lineage: Eukaryota; Metazoa; Chordata; Actinopteri; Salmoniformes; Salmonidae. The record is from RefSeq and is a predicted model, not a curated record.